This 497-nucleotide ribosomal RNA is filed under the name uncultured bacterium. RNAcentral's name for it is "partial 16S ribosomal RNA". It matches the Rfam family "Bacterial small subunit ribosomal RNA", at positions 28 to 507 of the family's 1533-position model. The record is from RNAcentral.
GAUGAACGCUGGCGGCGUGCCUAAUACAUGCAAGUCGAGCGAACAGACGAGGAGCUUGCUCCUCUGGCGUUAGCGGCGGACGGGUGAGUAACACGUGGAUAACCUACCUAUAAGACUGGGAUAACUUCGGGAAACCGGAGCUAAUGCCGGAUAAUAUAUUGAACCGCAUGGUUCAAUAGUGAAAGACGGUUUUGCUGUCACUUAUAGAUGGAUCCGCGCCGCAUUAGCUAGUUGGUAAGGUAACGGCUUACCAAGGCAACGAUGCGUAGCCGACCUGAGAGGGUGAUCGGCCACACCGGAACUGAGACACGGUCCAGACUCCUACGGGAGGCAGCAGUAGGGAAUCUUCCGCAAUGGGCGAAAGCUUGACGGAGCAACGCCGCGUGAGUGAUGAAGGUCUUCGGAUCGUAAAACUCUGUUAUUAGGGAAGAACAAAUGUGUAAGUAACUAUGCACGUCUUGACGGUACCUAAUCAGAAAGCCACGGCUAACUACGUG